AUGGUACUUGGUAGUGAAACCUCUACACUUUUCUGGGUGGACAGAUGGCUGGAUGGGAAGCCCAUUUUUGAGAUUGCGCCGGAGCUCCCAAAGCUUGUCUCCGGGCACAUUCAGAAGCGGCGGACAGUCUGUGAAGCCCUCCCGGACAAACGUUGGAUUUCCGACAUGCGAGCUUUUGGCGACCUCGCAUUAUGGCAGUAGAUCCAGUUGUGGAGACAGGUCCAUGGGGUGCAGCUCGACACCACCCCGGACAGGUUUCUCUAG
This 264-nucleotide ribosomal RNA is filed under the name Triticum aestivum (bread wheat). RNAcentral's name for it is "partial small subunit ribosomal RNA". The record is from RNAcentral. Lineage: Eukaryota; Viridiplantae; Streptophyta; Magnoliopsida; Poales; Poaceae.